GCCUCGGUGGUGUAGUGGUAGCAGGCGCCUCCGAUAUGAGUGAAACGCUGUUUCAAGUCCCGCCCGAGGUCA
Non-coding RNA from Parelaphostrongylus tenuis, 72 nucleotides. NCBI's taxonomy places the organism in Eukaryota, Metazoa, Nematoda, Chromadorea, Rhabditida, Metastrongylidae. The record is from the annotation of a GenBank genome assembly.